CGGGGUGAGUAACGCGUGGGUAACCUGCCUCAUACAGGGGGAUAACAGUUGGAAACGGCUGCUAAUACCGCAUAAGCGCACAGCUUCGCAUGAAGCAGUGCGAAAAACUCCGGUGGUACAAGAUGGACCCGCGUCUGAUUAGCUGGUUGGUGAGGUAACGGCCCACCAAGGCGACGAUCAGUAGCCGGCCUGAGAGGGUGAGCGGCCACAUUGGGACUGAGACACGGCCCAA
Molecule: ribosomal RNA, 232 nt
Filed under: uncultured bacterium
Lineage: Bacteria
Description: partial 16S ribosomal RNA
Rfam family: Bacterial small subunit ribosomal RNA
Source: RNAcentral